GCUCUAAACCCUUUGUGAACAUACCUAUAACUGUUGCUUCGGCGGGUAGGGUCUCCGCGACCCUCCCGGCCUCCCGCCUCCGGGCGGGUCGGCGCCCGCCGGAGGAUAACCAAACUCUGAUUUAACGACGUUUCUUCUGAGUGGUACAAGCAAAUAAUCAAAACUUUUAACAACGGAUCUCUUGGUUCUGGCAUCGAUGAAGAACGCAGCGAAAUGCGAUAAGUAAUGUGAAUUGCAGAAUUCAGUGAAUCAUCGAAUCUUUGAACGCACAUUGCGCCCGCCAGCAUUCUGGCGGGCAUGCCUGUUCGAGCGUCAUUUCAACCCUCAAGCUCUGCUUGGUGUUGGGGCCCUACAGCUGAUGUAGGCCCUCAAAGGUAGUGGCGGACCCUCUCGGAGCCUCCUUUGCGUAGUAACUUUACGUCUCGCACUGGGAUCCGGAGGGACUCUUGCCGUAAAACCCCCAAUUUUCCAAAGGUUGACCUCGGAUCAGGUAGGAAUACCCGCUGAACUUAAGCAUAUCAAUAAGCGGAGGAA
Molecule: ribosomal RNA, 534 nt
Filed under: fungal endophyte
Lineage: Eukaryota; Fungi
Description: eukaryotic LSU rRNA
Rfam family: 5.8S ribosomal RNA (bases 162-315)
Source: RNAcentral